ACUGCCGUGAAAUUAUAAGCUUCUGAUUUAAUAUAUUCAAUUUGAAAUUUUCUCUGUGCAAUCCUUGACCAGCGAGUCUUACAGCCUGAUAUUAUACGUGAAAUGUUGAACCGCACAUAACGUCUACCGUCACCGUAUGCUCGAAUGCUUCGGCAGUCUGAUUAUUCAUUUAUUCACUCCUCCGGGCGUCACAGAUUACCUAAUCCCUAUGUUUUCCUCAACCGGGUUCGUUAGCGAAGCUGCAUACAAGUGAUUGAUAACAGAAGGAGCUGACGAUCCUUUACGAGUGCAGCCUAAGAAGUUUCGAAAAGUGCUUUCAAAGCAUGCGGUGUUACCGGUUUAAAAAGAAAACAAAAAAAAUUAAAAUAAAUAAAUAACGCCAACAAUAAGUCCACGACGAUGGAUGGAUCGGUUGAAAGAUCCAUCCUGAACAAGGAAUACAUAGAAUUUCAUUCGUUUCACCCCGAGACAGCGAUGAAAAAAGCUUCUUCAACAAUCUGUCGAAAGACACAGACGGACGGAUCAUUCCACUUGACGUAUAACCCGAGUUAUUUCAGUCUCCCGUUAACUGCCGCUGCAGCUUCAUAAAUUUCCUCCAAGGGAUCAAAGGUUACAAGAAGAUGCGGCGUCUAGAGGGCAACGACGAUAAGGGAUAACGAGAUACGACGGGUUUCAAUUCCGCGUCAAGAAAGCCGAGGUGCUUUUUUUUCUUCCUUCCACACGGUGUAUAAUUUUCUUUAAUACACUUUUUUUCCCCCGAGUAUAAGAUGCGACGCGUUCGACUUAUAUCUUCGAUCAUAAAAAUACAAAGAUGGUGAGAAAAUCGACCGCAAAAGGAGAUCUCGUGAAUUUUUCUAUUUUUUUUCUUCCUUCUUUUCCCCUUCUUCCUUCUUUUCACGGUAUAAUAGGGGGCUCUUUGUACGUAAUGGCAAAACGUUCGACAGGCACCUAGAUUUAUGUACAUGUAUAAAGAAAAAGUGAUACAGCGAUGAAUACGUCGUCGUCCAUUAAAGCCGGUGAUUAAAACAAGGCUUCCUCUUCUCACGUGGCGCCAAACGGAUUAUGACGAACGUUGAGAAAAAUUCAAACACAAGAAAAAACUGCAGACUGCACGAUGCGCUGCAUAUACACGCCUUUCAUCGCCUAACGUCGGACUUUUUUGUUACGUUGUAAAAAUUUUUUCAUCUACCCUCUCUCUCAUUCUUUCUUACAGCUACUCUCAUCUUAUUCAUAUUACGAUAAUUCUCCGAAUUUUUCCAGCUUCUAAAAAUCAAAGUAAUUUUUUAGGAUAAUCGCUCGGUUAAGAAAACAAGACGCGUGAAUUAGUCGAAAGUUUAAAUUUGCGUGAAUAUUUUCACCAUGGUGUCCGGUAAAAAAAAAAAAAAAAAAAACCCGUAACCAAUUCAUUUCCAGGACAUUUUUAGGUUAUUCAAGGACAUUCAGGAAAAAUAAGAAUACACGAAUGCAAAGGGCAGAGGGCACUGUACGCAACCGGCGCGACGUACGAGAUAUACAAUAUACGUUAUUUCUACCACAAGCUGUUAGGAGAGAAAAACGAAAAACGCGAUUCGAGAACAUUUUCAGAACCUCAAGGACUUCCAGGACCACUGGACACCACGUUGACGCGAUGAGACGAUAUUUUGUAGAGAAGAGUAAAUGGGCAUCGGCAGCCUGCGAUGCGAUGUGCGAACUACAAGAUUUCCAGUCACGAGAAGAAGACCGCUUGACGUAAAUGGAAGUCCGUCAGUCUGCAUUUGAAUGAAGUUGUACAACGUUGAACGAUCGCUAAUAAAUUCCCCAGGGACAAUAUGUAUACCAACCAA
RNAcentral lists this long non-coding RNA (1823 nucleotides) under Neodiprion pinetum (white pine sawfly). RNAcentral's name for it is "uncharacterized LOC124213991, transcript variant X2". The record is from RNAcentral. Lineage: Eukaryota; Metazoa; Arthropoda; Insecta; Hymenoptera; Diprionidae.